This is a long non-coding RNA of Syngnathus acus (greater pipefish), 604 nucleotides long. RefSeq lists it as uncharacterized. Lineage: Eukaryota; Metazoa; Chordata; Actinopteri; Syngnathiformes; Syngnathidae. The record is from RefSeq and is a predicted model, not a curated record. The transcript is spliced from 3 exons.
CUUCAGGUUGGCACGUCGGCUUCUCUGCUGUCUGGAUGAAUCGUCCGACGGGGAAGGAGACAAUCGUCCGCUCGUCCCGCAUUGUUUUGCAUCGGCGCUGGCGCGCACGAUGGUGAAAAUCAUCAGAUCUGCAGAAACUCACUCAGCAAUUGAGCAGCAGCAGCAGCUCCACCCUCCUAAGCAAUGCGAAGCCUUCUUGCCACGUUGUUACAUCACGUCCAACACAAAUCGUUCCGGUGCCAGUUGGACCCUUUCAAGCCGUGAUGGUCUUUGUUGUUCUACUUUGGUGUGGUCCCACCUCGCUACUGGAGGAGCCUUGCACAAUUAUCAGGUAUGUUGAACCGUUUACGUCCUCCCCGAGGGGCAAACGUGCAAAAACUCAACCGUCCACACCCUUUUUGUUUGUGUCGAGGUGAGGCAGACAUGCCCAAAGUGCCCAGACUAUAAUUAUGCAUCCACUUGUGUAAGUAAAUAAAUAAAAAGAAAGAAAGUUGAAUAAUUAAAUAACUAACUAAAUUAAUUGAUAGAUAAACAUAUGAAUUGAUUAAAUUAAAUAUCAAUCUAAUAAACAUUAAAUAAAUAAUGGAUAUGCACUCACCCUAGA